UCAACCCACCGUGCCACGAUCGCCAGCG
This 28-nucleotide small RNA is filed under the name Bombyx mori (domestic silkworm). RNAcentral's name for it is "ovarian small RNA-24608". Lineage: Eukaryota; Metazoa; Arthropoda; Insecta; Lepidoptera; Bombycidae. The record is from RNAcentral.